AUGUAAUAACUGAGAUUUUUGAUUUAUUGAUUAAACCCUUUUGUUUGACGAUGUUCUUGUGUGUAAUAUAAUUAUAAGUGUACUCGUCAAAUUUCAGGAGAAAACGAGUUAAAACGGAGAAGUUACGCGACCCGGAAGUCUGACUUAAGUGAAUAGUAACUCCGGUUUUCCGGAGAGGCCGCAGAGUAAAGUGGACUUUCGACGCGUAUCGGACUCCGAAUAUAGCCUUCCAAUAGCUCGUUUUCAACCGCUCGACUAUCCUGGACCCAAUGGCACUGACAGUUUUGGAUUUGGAUGCACAGAUUUCGAGAAAAAGGGGUUUAAUGGUUUUUGCAUAUAGUUGUCUAUAUGUGGUUUUUGAUGGAACCUAGGAAGGAAGGUUUUGUCGCAAAUCGGGAAUCUUUUCGGGCGAAACGAGAUGCUAGAUUCGACGCCUCUGUCGUGCUGAUCGCGCUGGUGCGAUCCGAUCGGAAAUCCGACGGACGGAUCCUCGGGAAUCGCGAAAAGUCCGCGAAGGGGCUGAUUUGAGUAAUCAGAUUAUUCGCGAAAAGGCCCUAUAUUUUAUGCGUCGAUUUGCGAGUUUUUGAACUCGGAGGGACUGCCGUGCAUAAAGCACUCGCUUGUAGGGAGCUGGGUUUAAACCGUUCAGCCUUGAAGGGGGGUUUUUCGCAAAGUCGCAGCACCUAUAUAUGAUGACCUAGGGUUUCUUGAGCUAACCCUAACCCUAGAACCCCCCCCCAGCUAACCCAGCCGCCCCUGUCACCACAGCACCUCCCUACCCUGUCCGUGCUCAUGUUCCGGCCACCGCCGAGCAGCCCCGGCCGCCGGAAACUGCCUGCAACCAGCCUUCCUCCUCUCCUCGGCCAUCUCUCUCCUUCUCUUAGACCGAGGGCUUGUGGGAGGGUCUCCACCGCCUCUGGAAGCAAGCCCCGGCCUCCUUCCACCUCAGGUGUGCCUCUCCCCUAGCUCCGGCCGCCCCCGAGCGUCGCCGGAGCCGCCGGGAGAGGCUGUAGCCAGCCGGGUCUGCCCUGAACCGAGCCNGGGAUGGAGGUAGCAGGGAGCGGCUAGGGCAGCAGGGUUAGGGUUUCCAAGGUGAAACCCUAGAACAAGCUUAAAUACCAAGUGCAAUUUGCAAAAAGGUCCACCAAAUCUCAGUAUUUACUACUGAGUCCCUCACAAUGCGUGUAAAACGCGCGAACACCCCUCCACGUGCGAUCUUACGCGAAACGGUACAUAAAAUAUCGCAACUUUUGCGAAAUUACCGUUUUGCCAUUACCGACCUCUCCUCGAUCAACGCGUAAUCUCCGCAGAUCCGUCCGUUAGAUUUGCGAACGGAUUGCACCAGUGCAAUCAGCACGACGGAGGCAACAAAGCUGCGAUUUCGUUUCACUUCGAUCGACCACGGAUUCACGACACAAUCCAAUCUUUCUUUCCAACAGAAGAAAUAACACCUAAAUACAUAUAAAAUAUGUAUUUUU
RNAcentral lists this long non-coding RNA (1478 nucleotides) under Ananas comosus (pineapple). RNAcentral's name for it is "long non-coding RNA (ACOM_LNC016824)". The record is from RNAcentral. Lineage: Eukaryota; Viridiplantae; Streptophyta; Magnoliopsida; Poales; Bromeliaceae.